RNA transcript from Leguminivora glycinivorella, 4721 nucleotides. It is a transcript of the gene named V-type proton ATPase 116 kDa subunit a 1, with no coding region annotated. The transcript has 21 exons. The record is from RefSeq and is a predicted model, not a curated record. NCBI's taxonomy places the organism in Eukaryota, Metazoa, Arthropoda, Insecta, Lepidoptera, Tortricidae.
UCGCGCAUGGAUGACGUGCCGCGCUGGAGAUUCAUCGAUUGAUUUCGUUUCCGUUUAUUUCGUCGCCAAAGUCAGUCGCGACUGAUGCGACGGAGCCGUGUGUAGUUAUUUAGUUUAGUGUGUGGUGACAAACGUGCAAUAUGGGGUCGUUGUUCAGGAGUGAGGAGAUGACAUUAUGUCAGCUCUUCCUGCAGAGUGAAGCUGCGUAUGCCUGCGUGUCGGAGUUGGGAGAACUGGGACUUGUGCAAUUUCGCGAUUUAAACCCGGACGUCAAUGCCUUCCAACGCAAGUUCGUCAACGAGGUCCGUCGUUGCGACGAGAUGGAGCGAAAACUCCGAUACCUCGAGAAGGAGAUCCGUCGAGACGGGAUUCCCAUGCUGGAGAUACCUGGAGAGUGCCCAGAGGCACCACAACCCAGAGAGAUGAUCGACCUGGAGGCCACCUUUGAAAAGCUUGAGAACGAGCUCCGCGAGGUGAAUCAAAACGCCGAGGCCCUCAAGAGGAAUUACCUCGAGCUGACAGAGCUCAAGCACAUCCUCAGGAAGACUCAGGUGUUCUUCGACGAGCACGAGGGCGGGGCCGGGACCACAGAGUCCAUGACGCGGGCGCUGAUAUCCGACGACCAGAACAGAAAUGUCGGUCACGUCCAACUGGGUAUGCGGGAUAAGCAGGAGUCGUUGGAAUUCUUACCGUGCUUCGUCGCUGGCGUGAUCCUCCGUGAACGCAUACCUGCUUUUGAGCGUAUGCUGUGGCGCGCCUGCCGAGGCAAUGUCUUCCUUCGUCAAGCUGAGAUCGACUCGCCUCUUGAGGACCCGUCUUCCUCCGACCAGGUGUACAAGUCAGUCUUCAUCAUCUUCUUCCAAGGCGACCAGCUGAAGACCCGCGUCAAGAAGAUCUGCGAGGGUUUCCGCGCCACUCUCUACCCGUGCCCUGAAGCGCCCGCAGACCGCAGGGAGAUGGCUAUGGGAGUCAUGACACGGAUUGAGGAUCUUAACACGGUCCUCGGCCAGACCCAAGACCACCGUCAUCGCGUGCUCGUGGCCGCAGCCAAGAACAUCAAGAACUGGUUCGUCAAAGUGCGCAAGAUCAAGGCCAUCUACCACACCCUGAACCUUUUCAACCUGGAUGUCACCCAGAAGUGUCUCAUCGCUGAGUGCUGGGUCCCAGCUCUAGACCUGGAGACUAUCCAGCUGGCUUUGAGGAGAGGAACGGAACGAUCCGGAAGCUCAGUGCCGCCCAUCCUGAACCGGAUGGAGACGCUCGAGGACCCGCCGACGUACAACCGCACCAACAAGUUCACGUCCGCCUUCCAGAACCUCAUCUAUGCGUACGGUGUCGCCACCUACCGAGAGGUCAACCCUGCUCCAUACACCAUCAUAACGUUCCCGUUCCUGUUCGCCGUGAUGUUCGGCGACCUGGGCCACGGCGCGCUCAUGGCGGCCUUCGGCUUCUGGAUGUGCUACAAGGAGAAGCCGCUGCAGGCCAAGAAGAUUGACAGCGAGAUCUGGACGAUAUUCUUCGGCGGUCGCUACAUCAUCCUCCUCAUGGGCCUCUUCUCGAUGUACACGGGUCUCAUCUACAACGACAUCUUCUCCAAGAGUCUCAACAUCUUCGGCUCAGCGUGGCGAAAUAACUACGACAAGUCCACGUUGCAAGAAAACGCCAUGUUGCAACUCAAUCCGGACUCGUGGGACUAUGUUCAGACGCCGUACCCGUUCGGAAUUGAUCCCGUGUGGCAGCUCGCCGAAGCCAACAAGAUCAUCUUCAUGAACGCCUACAAGAUGAAGAUCUCCAUCAUCAUUGGUGUCUUCCACAUGUUGUUCGGUGUCUGCAUGUCUCUCUGGAACCAUCUGUAUUUCAAGCGCCGCACUAGUGUGUAUGUGGAGUUCGUCCCUCAGAUCGUGUUCCUGGUGCUUCUGUUCUUCUACAUGGUUCUGCUCAUGUUCAUCAAGUGGACCAGCUACGGAUCUACUCCCCCGCACUUCGGAGACCCAAACUACGUGACAACCAGCGCAUUCUGUGCACCCUCCAUCCUGAUCACGUUCAUCAACAUGAUGCUGUUCAAACAAGACGCCAACGACCCCUCGCGGGAGAUGUGUGCGGAGAACAUGACCAUGUUCGCCGGACAACUCGGCCUGCAGAAGUUGUUCGUGGUGGUGGCGCUGCUAUGCGUACCCGUGAUGCUGCUCGGCAAACCGUACUUCAUCAUGCAGGAGCAGAAGAGGCGCGCUUUGGAGCGUUCCGGACACCAGAGCAUCGAGGGCGGCGCCGAGAACGGCACCGCGGGUGGCGCGCCCGUGCCUGCAGGUGGACACCACGACGAGGACAUCACCGAGGUCUUCAUCCACCAGGCCAUCCACACGAUCGAAUACGUGCUAGGAAGCAUCUCCCAUACCGCCUCAUACCUGCGUCUGUGGGCGCUCUCGCUCGCGCACGCGCAGCUGGCUGAGGUGGCCUGGAACAUGCUGCUGAGGAAAGGUCUGCAGUCUAGCGGGUUCUCCGGCGGCAUCUUCCUGUACCUGGUGUUCGCGGGCUGGGCCGCCAUCUCCGUCUCCAUCCUGGUGCUGAUGGAGGGCCUGUCCGCCUUCCUGCACACCCUGCGUCUCCACUGGUACGUCUACCUAGAGUUAUCCUACACCCUAGCCAGUCUAGAGGGUUCUAGAACAUCUGUACCUGGUGUUCGCGGGCUGGCCGCCAUCUCCGUCUCCAUCCUGGUGCUGAUGGAGGGCCUGUCCGCCUUCCUGCACACCCUGCGUCUCCACUGGUACGUCUACCUAGAGUUAUCCUACACCCUAGCCAGUCUAGAGGGUUCUAGAACAUCUGUACCUGGUGUUCGCGGGCUGGGCCGCCAUCUCCGUCUCCAUCCUGGUGCUGAUGGAGGGCCUGUCCGCCUUCCUGCACACCCUGCGUCUCCACUGGUACGUCUACCUAGAGUUAUCCUACACCCUAGCCAGUCUAGAGGGUUCUAGAACAUCUGUACCUGGUGUUCGCGGGCUGGGCCGCCAUCUCCGUCUCCAUCCUGGUGCUGAUGGAGGGCCUGUCCGCCUUCCUGCACACCCUGCGUCUCCACUGGGUGGAGUUCCAGAGCAAGUUCUACGCGGGCGAGGGCUACCUGUUCCAGCCCUUCUCCUUCGAGGUCAUCCUCGAGUCCGCCGGCCAGGGCGAGGAGUAGGCGAGGCGAGCAACCGAGAUUACAGAUAUCGCAGUAGUAUGGCUUUAUAACCUCUGAGCCCUUAGCUGCAUUCCAAUUGAGGGGUGUACGAUCAAGAUAUUAAGUAUCAUGGUAUUGUAGUAUGGUUGACGACCUGCCUGCUACGCCGCGGUCCCGGGUUCGAAUACGACUUUAUUGCCUAUAUAUUAAAGUUGCGAAUAUAAUUUUAGGCACUCUGUCCGCAUCUAUACUUAAUACCUUGACCUUGAUACUUAUUAACUAAUGAAAUUUUUCUAAUACUAAAAGUGCUGAGUGAUUUGGCUUACAAAUUAGAGGAGUUUUGAAUUUAAACUCGAAUUUCUUUCGUAUAAGGAAAAAGCGUAUUUUAAGCGACUUGUCCCUUUACAUUAACUAUUGUAGCCAAUUCAUUAAAUAAAUAUAUUAGAAUUUCUAUUCUUACGUUUGGAUUUCUCGAUUAGACGGAAUUUAACCGCAAAACUAAAGAACAACAAUGAAAAAAAGGCUUAAGAGGUUAGAAAUAUGGUCAAUUUAAUUAUUUUUCUUAUGAUUAAUAUUCAACUUUCGUAUUUAAAUUGUAAACUAGAUGGAUGAAAGCAUAGUAAAAAAAAAUGUUAAAACUUACUUAGAUCUCUUGAAAUGUUGCUUAGCCUACUCGAUGUUAGACAUUAGGUCGAUAGUGAAUCCACGGACUUAAAACCACUUAAUAUUGAACCUAGUGUAAUGCUUGGCAAAAAUAGUAGAAAUUAAAAAUUGGCAACAUCGUCGUGCCAUCCUUUCUUAUAAAUAUGUGUGAGAAACGAGACGUGACGAUAUUGCCACGUUUUUAUUUGUACUCUGUUUUGCCAGACUAUAUUUAUUGGUGUUAUUCUCGCUUCUAAGAUAAGUGUAAUCGUUGAAAUCAUAAUGCUGUAACUAAAUUUUUUAUUUUUUUAUACCAGUCCGUUUUCAAAGGUCCAAAUCAUAGUCAAAGGAAUAUUAAAAUGCCUAAAGUUGUGUGAAAUAUUUUAAUUAUAAAUUUGACAGCUUUCAUCUAUAUGAAGUAAGGUAAACUUCGUUAAACUUAUACGGAAACAUUUUCAUCUUAUCCCCCAAGAAAAACCCUUCAAUCUCACCACAUAUUACCUUAUAUCUACAUUUCUAACUUCAGUAACUUCCUACUUGUUAAAAUUGUGGAAAAUUUCAUCUCAUUUCCAAAAUGAGACUUUCUUUUUUUCUGUAAAAUACUUCUAGAUAUCGGUGAAAAAUAUCUUUUUUUUUUAAACUUUCCGCUACAUAUAUUGGCAUCAACUUAAGCCGUAAAUUUAUCAUUUAUAAUAUUUGACAUACUAUCGCGUUUUGAUUCCUUUGCCUAUGCCACCAAACAUUUUUGUAUGUACAUGUUUUUUUAUUUGCAAUGUAGGAAAUAAAUGUGUGAAUUAAUAAUGUUUGUAUUUCUCUCCCUUGUACUUAAUCUGAUGUAUGGUGUGCUCUCUGUAAGGUAGUUCGAGUCAUUCCAGUAGCAGGUUCACAUGUUGAUGAUCACAGUAAUAAACGUUUAUGUAGAAUGCAA